Molecule: ribosomal RNA, 278 nt
Filed under: uncultured bacterium
Lineage: Bacteria
Description: partial 16S ribosomal RNA
Rfam family: Bacterial small subunit ribosomal RNA
Source: RNAcentral
UGCCAGCAGCGCGGUAAUACAGAGGGUGCAAACGUUGCUCGGAAUGACUGGGCGUAAAGCGCGCGUAGGCGGUGAGUUAAGUCGACUGUGAAAGCCCAUGGCUCAACCAUGGAAGCGCAUUCGAAGCUGGCUCGCUGGAGUCCCGGAGAGGGUGGUGGAAUUCCUAGUGUAGAGGUGAAAUUCGUAGAGAUUAGGAGGAACACCGGUGGCGAAGGCGACCACCUGGCCAAAUACUGACGCUGAGGUGCGAAAGCGUGGGGAGCAAACAGGAUUAGAUA